Molecule: long non-coding RNA, 268 nt
Filed under: Hordeum vulgare
Lineage: Eukaryota; Viridiplantae; Streptophyta; Magnoliopsida; Poales; Poaceae
Description: long non-coding RNA (HVUL_LNC016045)
Source: RNAcentral
AGAUAGCAACACGCUACGCAAAUGGCAAAGAAGAGGACCGCAUCCGGAGCGGCAAGCACAAAACAGUCGCUCAUGGCGAUGGGGGCAACACUCGGAAGCAGAAGCAGAAAGCUCCGACCGCUCCGCAAGCGGAGGCCGUAGCCGUAACCAAUGCCAAGUUCAAGGGUAAAGGGAAGGCUCAGUUCACCCCCAAGAAGAAGCAGUUCAAUAACCCCAUCCUGGACCAGCCAUGUCCGGUUCAUACGAAGAUGGACGAAGAAGGCAACCC